ACUCGUAGUGUUAAUCAUUAAUUGCACUCCUUCCCGUGUGAUUACCUAUACUUAAUAUCCGAAACACACGACGAAAACAAGAUCGCUAAAAAUGGUGUUAUUAAGCGGCUCAAGUCGCCGAAAGUCCAUAGCGUGUCAAAUACGUCUAGCAUCGUUUAAAUUGCUUUGCAAAAUUUCUUGACACUUGAUUUUAUUUGCCCAUAUAAAGCAAAAUAUAUUUAAAAUGUAUAUUUGUACAAACAUCACGUGAGCUAUCAACCAAUAUGCGCCCCUAUAAUGUGACGCUUGAUAAACGAGAGCCGAAGGCACGAGCCGAGCGCCGCAGAUGCGAGGUGUUCCUAGGGGGUCCGGGGGCAUGCACCCCCGGAAAAUUUUUAAACUAGAGUCUGAAAUGCUAUUUCC
Molecule: non-coding RNA, 402 nt
Organism: Paramuricea clavata
Lineage: Eukaryota; Metazoa; Cnidaria; Anthozoa; Malacalcyonacea; Plexauridae
Source: the annotation of a GenBank genome assembly